CCCAGACUCCUACGGGAGGCAGCAGUGGGGAAUAUUGCACAAUGGGGGGAACCCUGAUGCAGCGACGCCGCGUGGGCGAGGAAGUAUUUCGGUAUGUAAAGCCCUAUCAGUGGGGAAGAAAAAGGACGGUACCCAAAGAAGAAGCCCCGGCUAACUACGUGCCAGCAGCCGCGGUAAUACGUAGGGGGCAAGCGUUAUCCGGAUUUACUGGGUGUAAAGGGAGCGAAGACGGCAAUGCAAGUCUGGAGUGAAAGGCGGGGGCCCAACCCCCGGACUGCUCUGGAAACUGUAUAGCUGGAGUGCAGGAGAGGUAAGUGGAAUUCCUAGUGUAGCGG
This 335-nucleotide ribosomal RNA is filed under the name uncultured bacterium. RNAcentral's name for it is "bacterial SSU rRNA". It matches the Rfam family "Bacterial small subunit ribosomal RNA", at positions 330 to 681 of the family's 1533-position model. The record is from RNAcentral.